GCAUCACUACACUGUGUAGAACACAGUAUGUGGGAAGAUCUUAGUUGUAACUGCCGCUGAGGCAGUAUUUAAGCCUGAAGUAUUUUUGUUCAUGCCUAUUAAUGGCGAUCGAUGAGGCGGAACAUUUUUCUGUGUCGUUUCACUCUGACCCGUUUUAGUGGCGGACCACCAGCUAGAGCUCCGCUAUAAAAGGCCAGUUUCUCUAAGUUUCUCUAAGCUGUUGACUGUUAUAGUUAUAAGUUUCUUAAGUCGUAUUAACCACCUCUCAAGCCUGUAUAUGCAGCUAAUAAGGUCAUUAUAGAUCUCCCAGGCAUAUGCAGUCUUCCGGCAGUAUGCCACAUAAUGCCCAAGAGAAUCCUGGGUCAGUCCUGGUUCAAAGCCAAUGACUUCUCUUUUAGCUCCAGACUGGAGGGAAAUUCAAGGCAACUUCCUUGCAACUGCUACCAAGACGGACACUGGGAAUGAUUUUCAAUUGGCCUGAGGCAGAGAGAGUCAGGAAGGCUGAGUCCCUCUUCAGCAGCAGUCUGAAGAGAAGCCAUGCCACAGCGCAAAUCCGCAUGUUUCCCUCAAUGAAGGAAAGAUGACGAGCAACAAACCGGUCCACACGAAUGGGUAGGCUUUCAUGCUUGAAAAGGCCUUUUUUUAUGUUUUUGAACUCUGCUUCAACAGCUGCGGAACUUGCAGUGAUGCUUGAAGAGAGGGACCAUUAUUGCUGUCCAGAGUGGCAAGUAACUUCCAAGUAUUGUUAUUUGGGGAAUAAUCUCAGGGAGGAAGUGGCUGUUGUCUCUAUCCCCAUCAGCCAUGGCAAGUGACCUGCUCUCCUCACAUAUUUCUGUCACCCAUUGUCGGACAUUAGUGUGGAUGUGCUGAUUUAAUGCAUCACCUGGUUCUUGUCCCUCAACUUGCUCAUCUGAAAUGGGGAGAAAUUCCUCUGAGAUUUGUGCUCUCAAGUAUUUCUUGCACUUUUCUGAUGGGAUAGGGGCUCCAGAAUUGUCAUUACCCUCUGUCUCACUCAGUGCCACAAUGGUGAUAGCACGAAGAAGUUCUUUUGCAUGUUGCAAACAUUGUGAUUUAAGAAGCUGUGCUAUUGACCUAACAAAGAAAUCCUUAACACGAGGUAUUUUGUUUUGCAGGCAGUCCCAUCGGCAGAUCAUCUUAAUACAGUGUGCUACAUCUACCCUGACAAAACAUGGGGUAGAUGUCCAGGUUGAUUCCCAUGUGAAAUGUUAAAGCACUCAUUGAUGUAGCUCUUCAGAUCAGGAUGAGGGGUAAAAGCUUUGACUAGAGCGCCAAGAAUCGCCAGAGAAAAGUCACUCACUGCUUCUUUAGGAACAGAUGCACCUGCAUAGAUCCAUUCCUUCAGCCACUGUGUGAUAGCAUUAACAUCAUGCUUCUCUGACAGCAUCUGCACGACUGGGACACUGGAGCUGGUAUGACCUGUCAGAACGCCCUGAUACAGGAAGAUAUAGCCAGACAUGCCAUUCGGCCUCAUCAGUUUUUUAACUAUUGAGCCAGUUGCACCAACACAUAUUAUUGGGUGAGAUUUCUUUAAGCUCUUGUACACAUGCAUUUGUGUUUGACUCAAAUAGUGACAGAAAAACUUGUCAAGUCCAAUGUCUUUGAUGCUGUCACUGUGAGGUGCACUGUAUUUCAACAUCUGCAAUGAUAAAAUUGGAUUUUUGUCACCUAAUGCCAAAUCAUUUUUCUCUUGCUUUGCCUUGGUGGCCAAAUUUGGCAGGUGGCUUGGCUCAGGGUCUCUGAAGUCCAUCAAUUUAUUUGCCUGUGAUGCUCGCCAUAGAUAUGGUUCCAUCCUGCCCUCACAAAGUUCCUUGGCUACCUGCACACGCAACUGUCCAGAUGGAAACCACUUUGAGCGACCAGUGUGUAGGGAGUCAUCACUGUUCUUAAUAAAACAGUUCAAUAUUAUUGGACUGUUAAUUUCUGGCUCUCCGCUACAAUUAAUGUUGAGAAGGCCAUGACACUCCUUGCAGUAUCCCCUGAUUUUGAUAUAAUUAUUUGAGACCAAUGGAGAGACCUUGGCUCUUUUAAAAACAAAUGUGCAAGGAAUUUUGACUGUUUUCCAGAUUUGUUCAUUUAUGAUGUGGGUCCAGGUGCCAGGUUUCAAAAUUGUAUAGUCUCUUUUCCGGGUUUUUUAUCUUUGUAUUCAGCCUUUUCCGGAAUAAAUUCCAUCCACUUGUCAAAAGGAAUAUGAAGCUGAAACGACCGGCCAUGUCCUGAUUCCGAGCUUGCUUCACUGCUAGUUUCAGGAUCAGUUUCAUCAUGACUGAAUCCCAGAGCUGACCAGAUAUUGCGUCUGUUUGUUUUUACAAAGGUGUACAGAGCCUUUGCAGACAUCUUCUUUUCCAACUGGUCACUCAGAUCUAUCCACACAGUAGCGCUUGGAGUGGCUACGUUACAGAGCCUUUGCAGACAUCUUCUUUUCCAACUGGUCACUCAGAUCUGUCCACACAGUAGCGCUUGGAGUGGCUACGUUACCAUUUUCAAGUAUGGCCUCUUUUGAUGAGCAGAGAACUGCAACAAUUAAAUCAUUGUCUACUGCUGGUUGUUUGGGCAUCUAGUUGAAGGACAAAUGUAAAUAUAAUCAGGAUUUAUUGCUUGAAUAAUUAAAAUUACUGUAUUUUCCGCACUAUUAGGUGCAUUUAAAAACUUACAUUUUACUCAAAAAAACACAGUGCGCCUUAUAAUGCAGAGCGCCUUAUAUUAAAAGAUUAAAGUCCCAAUGAUGGUCACACACACACCUGGGUGUGGUGAAAUUUGUCCUCUGCAUUUAACCCAUCCCCUGGGGGAGAGGGGAGCAGUGAGCAGCAGCGGUGCCGCGCUCGGGAAUCAGUUGGUGAUCUAACCCCCCAAUUCCAACCCUUAAUGCUGAGUGCCAAGCAGGGAGGCAAUGGGUCCCAUUUUUAUAGUCUUUGGUAUGACCCGGCCGGGGUUUGAACCCACAACCUUCCAGUCUCAGGGCGGACACUCUACCACAAGACCACUGAGCUGGUAUGGCUCAAUUGAUGAAUUUGUUGCUCCAUACUGGUUGUACACAGUGCUCUGCCAAAAUGUUUCAGUACGUUUUAGUAUGACUAGUAAAUUAUAAAGUUCGCAUGGCUUUCCAACAUUACGGCAACUGUGGUCAGGGGGCGUCACUGAAAAGCUGUUGUACCCGCGAGGCUAUUUCAUUUCAAAAUAGGCUGCUCCGUUAAUGUUUCGAGUAAAUUUACGGAUUGAUAUGGAAGGGAAACAUAGGUAAGCAGUACCAAUGUGUUAGAUCAAACUUUCGUCAGUUCCAAUCAUUUUAUAGGAGAUCGUUUGAGAAACGCGAUUGAUUACACUUUGCUGAGGCUCAUGGGGGUCUGCGAGCUGAGGCUCAUGGGAGUUUGCGGGUGGCUAAUGCUAUAAUAAUAGCUGGUAUACGCACAAGGCUAUUUCAUGUCAAAAUAGGCUGCUCCGUUAAUGUUUUGAGUAAAUUUACGGAUCGAUAUAGAAGGGAAACAUAGUACUAAGUAGUACCAGUGUUAGAUCGAACUUUAGUCAGUUCUGAUCAUUUUAUAGGAGAUUGUUUGAGAAACGCGAUUGUUUACAGAGGGCUCAUUGGUUAUUGGCUAGUGGAUGCACACCGCAACCCUAGUCUACCUCAGUUUGUUGCAGUAUAGCUUCUAUUUUAUGCGCCUUUUAAUCCGAUGCGCCCUAUAUAUGAAAUAAUUUCUAAAAUAAAGACUUCAAUGAGGGUGCGUCUUAUAAUCCAGUGCGCCUUUUGGUGCGAAAAAUACGGUACACAUGCGUGAUCAUUAUAAUUGCUUUGCAUGGACGGAAAAAUGAUGCAAAGGGAAAAAUAUUUUGACAUCAAAAUGUAUCAAGCAUGCUUUCUUUAGAAAUUUAGUUUUCUUGGUCAGUGCAAAUUACACACGUAUAAUAAGACAAUGUUAGCCAACUAGCUAUUCAGACUACCUAGGGUGUUUUUAAUUCUAUAUUGUAGGAACUCUUUUUUUUUUUUUUUUACACAUUUUACUUACGUUGGUUGAUGGUCACUUCCCAGAAUUAAAUUCUGUUAUUAAAUCUUCGGAGAUAGUUGUGCAUUUGUCGCUUGAAAAAGUGGCACGUCUUUGUUUUUCGCCACCCUGUUGCGAUAUGUCUUACCGGCAGGCAGAGGUCACUUUGCAUGGUAAUUAGUUGGAUAAUACAUGUGUAAGAAUUGAGUUAUCAUGAUGUCAAGUGAAAAAUAAUAAAAUACAUGACAGGGGGUUAAUGAAGAUGCAUGAUUUUAAUAAUGAAAAAUUGCAACGGCACUAUUUUGGGUGCAUUUGGAAGUAAACAGGGGGGCGGGGCUACCUGACGUCAUCGCUAUAAAAUAAAUGUGUAAUAUCUCCGAAACGGAAGCAGCACAAACGAAAAUAUUUGCUGCACAAACGAAACAGACUAUUUUGCUUAGAUUUUGCGUGGGGUGGGGGGCCACCUUCACACAGGUGUCUAUCUAUCUAUCUAUCUAUCUAUCUAUCUAUCUAUCUAUCUAUCUAUCUAUCUAUCUAUCUAUCUAUCUAUCUAUCUAUCUAUCUAUCUAUCUAUCUAUCUAUCUAUCUAUCUAUCUAUCCAUCCAUCCAUCCAUGAGUGCGGGGAUGUCUGCCAUGACAUUGUUGGUUGAAACGUGUACUAUCAGACGGUAGCGGUCUCAGACCAAGGGGUGACAUCGUGAACAGUUUGGUGAUCAUAUCCCACCAAGGCUUAUCAGGGAUGGGAAUGGCAAAUGUGAAAAAGUACGGAAAAGUAGUAGUAGUAUACAUACAUACAUGAGGUUUUCGAAUGUCCCGGUUCUCGAACAAAUUGGAAUUCGAACGAAAAAUGUGAGAUUUGUUUGCUUCUUUUGUCAGACAAAAUUCGGAGGUCGAACCUCGCGAGAUGAGCCGAAAGGACCCGAGAACAUCCGACUGCGCGGCCCGAAUGCCGACUGACUCGUUUGUUAUUGUAUUUUCGUUACUUUGAGGAUUGUAUUAACCCUUAAUCAUGCCUCCAAAGAAAGCAAGUGGGAGCAGUAAAGCCAUCCUAAAACACAAAGACGCUCUUAAAAAAAUGCGACAGUGAGCACCUGGCGCGCUGCGGUUGCGCGAUUGGACCAAAUUAAGCUCCCUGCGCACUGAGGUCCACUUAAAUUUUGGAAAGUACAUCAGGACUUUAAAUAUAUUUUCUAAAUUUCAGCGACGGCUCUGUCACAAUAAUGCGACCAGCGCGGUGCAGUUGCGCGGUCGGCGGCGCGCUACGGUUGCGCCUUCGGCGGUGCACUGCAGUUGUGCGAUAGGACAAAAAUGCGCAACUGAAAAAAUGCUUAAAAAAGGUGGGUUUUUUUAGUCUUGGAACGGAUUAAAAUUGUUUCCAUUAUUUGAAAGGGGAAAAAUAGAUUCGGAAUUCGAUCGAUAUACUUCUCGAACCGCAACAUCGCGUUACUUUCUAAAUCCACAUGCUUGUAAAAGUAAAAACGUAGCUGUUAGGGUUUACAGAUUAUCUUGAUCAUAUGAUUAUCUUGGAAUGUAACCUGUAAUAAUUUACCUAGCUUGUCCUGUCUUAACAAAAGUAGUAGACCAAAGUGCUAAGAUCUUUUGAACUGAUUGACUAGCUGCAGAGGAAGCAAUCAAAGUUGCUUUGUUUACACAAUGUCGUAAAAGACCCCCUGCUAUGCAUUGAUCAGCAAGCCAGGGGCUUCAACCCCAUCCUGUCCACUCUCACCCCCACUCUGUUUCUCUCAAUAAAAAUGCUCCUGCAUGAGGCCUGAGUCAGACCUCAUUCGAUCAUCGCUGAACGCACAGCGACGAAUGGACUCUCCACCUGCAAGUGUCUAAAACGACUUCAAGAUUCAAGAGUUUUUCAUUCGCCAUGUUUGAGCGUGCCAAACAAGGAAUUUGACUUCGGUAAAAACACACCCUCUGUUCAACAUUUAGGUGACUGACAAUAUUUAGGACAUGUGAAUAAUGGCAAAAACAGUGUAGCCGUGUGGUUCUUGCAAAAUAAUUUCGAGUGAGCACCACCCUACCAGUAGCUUUGUGUUUUUUUGUUUCGAUGUGCUCCUUUAAUGUUCCUAGUUAUUUUUUCGUACAACUUAAUUUGUUUCCAGGGCAUUUUACCUUUUCCCCAUAAUUUUCCAGGUUUCUUUGAUGACUGGAAAAUUGGUCAAUCAAUGCAAUAAGAAAGGAACAAAUACAAGUAAGUCAAUUCAUUCAAGGAUACGUAACAAUCACAUGCAGGCGAUCAUUGGAGUGGUGAUGAUAGAAAAUGAAGAGCAACCCAAAGCCGAAAACAGCCAUGAUGUGGGCAGUCAGAGAAAGGAGGAAGAGGAAGAAGUAUCUGUAAUUCCUCUUGCCGAUGCAGUUGUUGACCCAAGGACAGUGGUGGUCAAAUUCCUGUAGAACCAAAGAAAACAUCUCUGAGAUCAAGCCCAAGAAAUCACGGACGUUUGACAGUAAUCUAUGUAAAAAUGAGGCAGGUAUAGAAAAAAAUAACUAUGUAUUACCGUUUUUUUCCGUGUAUAAUGCGCCCCCAUGUAUAAUACGCACCCUAAAAAUGGCAUGUCGAUGCUGGAAAAAAGCCUGUACCCAUGUAUAAUACGCACCCAAAUUUUGACUUUUUUUUUUUUAAUUUACCGUUUUUUUCCAUGUAUAAUGCGCCCCCACUGGUACUACUUAGUACUAUGUUUCCCUUCCAUAUCGAUCCGUAAAUUUACUCAAAACAUUAACGGAGCAGCCUAUUUUGACAUGAAAUAGCCUUGUGCGUAUACCAGCUAUUAUUAGAGCAUUAGCCACCCACAAACUCCCAUGAGCCUCAGCAAAGUGCAAUCAAUCGCGUUUGAAGUGUUUAUGCUGGAAAAAAGCCUGUACCCAUGUAUAAUACGCACCCAAUUUUUUUUAAUUGUCAUGUAUUAUUUUAAAGUCCCAAUGAUCGUCACACACGCAGGGAGGCAAUGGGUCCCAUUUUUAUAGUCUUUGGUAUGGUCUUAACUAGGCUGGAUGUAUUUUUUUUUGUUGGCGUUGAUUUCUCCGACUGCCCGUGAAGGCACCACCGCGUUCAGUGCGGACAUGUGAAAAAAGCGUGCGGACGUGAAAAAGGCGCCUCUGUAUGGGAGAGACGUUGAAGAGGAAUAAAAACACCCUUGGAAACCAAAACUUGCCCCUCGUCAUAACUCGGAGCCGCAACAAAUGUUUCGGAUUUGUGUAGGGUACAUUGUGACAGCAAACAAGCAGGUGAUCGAGCAAGCGUCUGAUACGAGAGCAUUGCGUUCGUAUGGAGCGUGUUUGAAGUGAACAGCAGAGACGAAAGGAACAAGGCAAAGUGUUGUGAAAUAAAAUAUUACCUGUAAUACGCAUUUUGUUAUUUGCGGAUUGAAACUGCUAAUUAAACUGUGAAUUGAAACUAAUAGGAAGAAAACAACUCUCGCUCUUUAUAUAGCUGACGUGUCUUGCGCAUCCGUUCUGCGCAUCGGAUCCAUAAUGCGCAUGCGCAGUCAUACUGCCUCCGUAUGACGUCCGGUCCGCGAUGGAGAUUAAAAAACAAACAAUAUUUGACAAUAACACACCAUCAAGGAUUUCACCAUCGCAUCAAACGAUGUGUCGUCAAUUAUGAAUUUUACUGACUAAGUGUGUUGGGCAGGAUGGCUGAAAGCGAUGCGCGUGUCACGGCUUCGGAGUGGCGAAAUGGAGCAGGGCGACCAAGUGCAGCUUGGACCAGGGUUUAUUGCAGCAAACUCAAAAGACUCGGCAAACUGACGUGACUAAACAACCAACUAACAAGACUAACAGACCAAAGCGUGAAACAAAAGACAGGAACCAAACAGACCGGGACCGUGAGACAUGCAUUGUCCACAUCUGACGCACAAUGCUCCGACGGGGAGUGACCCGCAAACAGAACUUAAAUACAUCACAGGUAACGAGAGGCAGGUGCGUGUGGUUACAUUAAUCAAGGGCACACAGGAAGGGAGGGGCGAGCACACAGACACAUAACCAAAACUGGAGACGAGGCAUGACAGCGCGAUUGACAACAAACAAGAAGAAAGGUGAUUUCAAGUUUUAUUUCGAGGGAGAUUUGUCAUGUCUCGUCCCCAGUUUUGCUAUGUAUCUAGGUUGCCAUAGUUUCUGUUCGCGUCGCCCCUCCCUUCCUGUGUCACCUCAAUCAAUGUAACGUGUUUUGUAUUUUAGUCCUGUCUGCCUCUCGCUCACCGUCGGAUCAUUGCAUGUGUUACUGUCAUGAUGUCUGUUUGGUUUCUGUUCCUGUCUUUGGUAAUGUCACCCUGUCUUUUUGUUCCACGGCUUUGUCGGUCAGUCCUGUAGUUGGUUUUGUUGUACCAUGAUUUUCUUAAAAAAAAAAAAAAAAAAAAUUGCACCCAUGUAUAAUGCGCACCCCAGAUUUUAGGACAAUAAAUUAGUUAAAUUUUGCGCAUUAUACAUGGAAAAAAACGGUAUAUGACAGUUAGAUCCCGAGGAACGACUGCAAGUUUCAGGGGCGAUAUUAGGAUCAGUAGUUUAGGGUUGCUACAAACAGGUUUAUGGGUGGUAGAGGGGGGCCAAGGAUCUAUAUGUGGGGUUUGUGCUCUUUUUAUUUUAUUGUGUGAAGACUGAGGCGUGUUACUUUAAUUCUGAUUCUCUGACGCAUUCACACGUGUGUUUUUCUGAUUGCUAUUAUUAUUAUUAUUAUUAUUACACACACUUUUUUGUCCUCCAAAUACUCCCACAUAGUAUAUCCGAUUCACACCAUUCCAAUUUCAUACUCCACACAUUAUUCAUCCCUUGGGAUUGCUCUCUCAGGAAAUUCUGGUGCCAGCAACUGAAUCUGAUUCUUCUUCUUAUUAUUAUUAUUAUUAAUAUUAUUACUGUUAGAAAAAUGUAUAUAUAUGUUAUCAUGCGUUCUCUAAUCAAUGCUUUACCCCAAUAGUCCUGCAAGAGAUGCUCGCUGUUUGGCCUUGCUGUUUUUAUGAUGUACCAUAGAAGAGAGAUUACAGCUGGGUCAGACAGGACGUAGCUGGCAACUCAGUGACAACUCAACAAAAAGGAAGACAUCUACCGUUCCUUUCUGACAAUGACCACUUUGUUAGACAACAUGCCUCAUUGCUGUCUUGCACCCCAGAUGAACCUCCAAGUGACCAUUAAAGUCAGGGUUUUUCCUAACUAUCUUUAUUGUAGGAUUAGGUUGGAAUGUAUAUAACCAGUAAUAAAUAACUUAGCUUGUUGCAUCCUACACAAUGUCGUAAAACUUCCCUUGCUAUGUUUUUACUAGAGGUCAAAGGUUUUUUUCUUCUGUAUCCAGUCCACUCAAACUCGUCUUCCCAGAUGUUCUUAUCAGUAUGUAAACACCUAGUGAUUUUUUUGCUUACGAGACAAGGCCCACAUGCCUCCCCCUUCCCCUUAGUUGGCUCUUGUCUCACACUGUGGGUAGGGCAAAUCCAAAUAAAAAGAGCGGGAGUGCAUACAGAUAUUUUAGUGUAGUGAGAUUGUUGUGAAGGAUCUGUACUGCACUCCUCGCGAGAAAAGAGUUAAUAUUUCUGUCUCACUUGUGGUUUGUUUGCUGUUGCUCUUCUAUUCACGUAUUCAGUCAGCGAAAUAAACCUGACAAUUACACUCACGUUUUUGUCCGAUUCACACCGUUCCAAUUUCAACAUACUCCACACAUAAAUCCCCUCCGUGAGUCGUCACCUUAUCGUGGUGGAAGGGUUUGCAUGUCCUAAUGAUCCUAGGAGCCAAGUUGUCCGAGGGUUUAUGCCCCUGGCAGGGUCACCCAUGAAAAGGUGAGGGGCCAGACAAAGCACGGCUCACAAAAACCCCUUAUGAGAAAUACUACAAUUGGAUUUUAUUUUCCCUCGCAUGCGGGUCACUGAGGCCCCCCUCUGGAGCCAGGCCUAGAGUCGGGGCUCGAAGGUGAGCAUCUGGCACAGCCCGGAAAGGAAACGUAGGUCACCUUUCCCAUGGGCUCACUACCUGUGGCAGGGGCCGCAUGCUUUGGACACUUGAGUUUAGACACUUGAGCUGUCAACUGAACAUCACCUGGUGCUGGGUCGGCUGCAAUGGUGGGGGAAGAUACCGGUCCGACCUGGCAGACCCAAACGUACUAUGAGGGUUUGCUGGGAAGGUCUGGCAGAACCCCCUGUCAGAAAGAGCUUCAACUCCCACCUCAGGCAGGGCUUUUCCUACGUCCCGGAAGAGGCGGGGGACAUUGAGUCUGAAUGGACCAUGUUCCGUGCCUCCAUUGUUGAGGAAGCUGACUAGAAUUGUGGCCAUAAGGUGGCCGGUGCCUGUCGUGGCGGAAACCCCUGAAUCUGCUUGUGGACACCGGCGGUAAGGGAUGCCAUCAAGUUGAAUAAAGAGUCCUAUCGGGCUGUGGGACUCCGGAGGCAACCGACAGGAGUAGCCAAACCGGAUAGCCAAGCGGAACACGGCUUCAGUGGUCGCUGAGGCAAAAACCCGGGCAUGGGAGGAGUUUGGCAAACCCAUGGAGAAUGACUUCCGGACGGCUUUGAGGAGAUUCUGGUCCACCAUCCGGCGUCUCACAAGGCGGAAACAGUGCACCAUCAACACUGUUUACAGUGGAGAUGGCGUGCUGCUGACCUCGACUCGGGACGUCGUGAGUCGGUGGGGAGAAUACUUCGAAGACCUCUUCAAAUCCACGAUACAACUUCCAUUGUGGAAGCAGGGCCUGGAAACUUUGAGGUUGACUCUCCAAUCUCUGGGGUCGAAGUCACAGAGGUAGUUAAGAAACUCCUCGGGGGCAAGGCCCAGCGGGUAGAUGAAAUCCACCUGGCGUUCUUAAAGGCUCUGGAUGUUGUGGGGUUGUUCUGGCUGACACGCCUCUACAACAUUGCGUGGACAUCGGGGUAGGUGCUUCUGGAUUUGCAGACUAGGGUGGUGGUCUCCCUUUUUAAGAAGGAGGACCAGAGGGUGUGUUGCAACUACAGAGUAAUCACACUCCUCAGCCUCCAUGGUUAGGUCUAUUCAGGGGUGCUGGAGAGAAGGGUUUGUCAAGAGGUCAAAUCUCAAAAUCAGGAGGAGCAGUGUGGUUUUCAUCCAGGCUGUGGAACAAUGGAUCAGCUUUUUUACCCUCGGCAGGAUCCUCGAGGAUGCAUGGGAGUUCGCUCAACCAGUCCACAUGUCUUUUGUGGACGUUGAGAAGGCGUUCGAUCGUGUCCCUCGGGAAGUUCUGUGGAGGGUGCUUCGGGAGUGCAGGGUCCCGAACCAACUUAUAAGGGUGGUUUGGUCCUUGUAUCAUCAAUGCCAGAGCUUGGUCCGCAUUUCCGGCAGUAAGUCGAAUUUGUUCCCAGUGAGGGUUGGAGUCCGCCAAGGCUGCCCUUUGUCACCGAUUCUGUUCAUAACUUUUAUGGACAGAGGUUUUAGGCACAGCAGAGCCAUUGAGGGUGUCCGGUUUUGGGACCUGAGCAUUGCAUCUCUGCUUUUUGCAGAUGACGUGGUGCUGUUGGCUUCUUCAAGCCGUGAUCUCCAGCUCUCACAGGAGCAGUUCGCAGCCGAGUGUGAAGCGGUCGGGAUGAGGGUCAGCACCUCCAAAUCUGAGACCAUGGUCCUCAGUUGGAAAAGGGUGGAAUGCCCUCUCCAGAUCCAGUGGAGGACUUCAGGUAUCUCGGGAUCUUGUUAACGAGAGAGGGCAGGAUGGAGCAUGAGAUCAACAGGCGGAUCGGCGCAGCGUCGGCCGUGAUGCAGACUCCGUACCGGUCCCUCGUGGUGACACGGAUGGUUUGAUAAAUGUGUUAUUUAUGUUACAGUUAUUUGAAUAACUGUUAAGUUACAUCAGGCACGUUCUCAGUUCCUCGUUCGUGUUUAUGUAAUGUUAGCAUACCAUAUCGUUUAGCCUGGUGUUGCCUAUUCAUGUCUGUUCUUAGUGAUGGAGUUUGUAAAAAGAGUUUUCCCCCCAAAAUGUGACUUGUACUACUUAGCGUAUUGUAUUUGUCAACGUGAAGUAUUUUAAGAUGAUUCUGGUGAAAGGCACACCUUGAGUUGGCAAAAUUUGUGAGGGCAUGAAUAUAAAUGGACACAGCACAUUUCAGAUUCAGAUUCACUUACAUGAUUGAAAAUAUUUUCAUUCGACUUUUUUGGUGGUAUUUUGUGUUGAUUUAUGAUAAAACCUCAACAAAAUAAAUUCAAGUUUGUGAUUGUGAGGUCACAAAUGUGAAAAAGUUCAAGGGGUAUGAACAUUUUGUUAAGACACCAUACAAUUGUAUGUAACACACCUCAACACAGUUGUCACACACAGAGCAGUGGGAGCAACGUGGUGGCCGGUAGAAGUGACAAGUCGAACACCAUUUCAUCCUGACCUGGAUUCCUCUGAUCUCCACAGUUUUAUAAAGAGGAGCACGGAAGUCAUCAUCCUUAUCCUCAUCCUCCUCAGCUACAGACAGAGAAAUUGAUUAAAGAACAAACAUGUCAACUUCAAAAUCUAUAAUAUUUGCGCAGUGAGAACAUAAAAUGACUAUUGUUUCAGUCUUGUUGAGUUCUUGUGGAGAACCAGUCCGCGCGUUACCAAUUCCUUGGAAUUCUUUGCUAUUUUGCUAUCAAUUCCCUCAGCAAAUCCAGUCACCAUGAAGUGUGUCACUACGCAUGUUACGCACAUGACGCAACAUUGUGUAGUGACAUAAGCAAUGAGACACGGAGUGUUGCGUUUUUGAUCCGCUGCAGAGGGUGAGUCAACAACCUAGCACCAGCAACAUUAGCCCGACGUGCAAUUUUACUGCAGAUAAGUAACUAACACUGCUUUUCAUGGUAGCUCAAUUUCUAUAAUUGUAAAAUCUGUCAUGCAAAUCGCGUCUCAUGUUUUAUUUUAGAUAACGGCGAGAGAAACCAUCUGACUGGUUCAGACGCCAGCAGUACGGUACCUCUCGCAUAUUCGGUCCCAGAGGCAGGGAGGAGCAAAAUUGUCUAAGGAAAGGACUGAGGGAUGUCAUCGUACAGUGACAAAAUUUGUAGUUAAAGGCUUGCACUCAAUUGCCACUGUAGAAGCCCCUGAUUUCGGGAAUUUAAUGGAGGAGGCAUGAAACUCACACUUCUACACCUUGACAUUCUUCAGCAGGCGAAGAUUAGAAUAUCAUCAAGGUAAACGAACGACUGCGGGCGCAGCGCGUUGGUGAGGCCGAAAGGCACCACCUGGUAAUUCUAGUGGACACUGGGAGUGCUGAGCGCUGUUUUACACUCAUCACCCUUUGAUGCACACUAAGUGAUAUGUGUUUUGUAGGUCCAGUUUGGUGAAAACCGUGACCCCCUUGGAGGGUCUCAAAUGUGGACAAGAUAAGGGGCAAGGAGUAGCGGUUCUUCAUCGUGACUUCGUUGAGCCUGCGAUAGUCGAUGCAAGGGCGGAAGGAGCCAUCCCUCUUGCACAGAAAAAAAAAAAACUGGCACUGGCGGGCGAGGACAGUCGGCUGAUUCCAGUUGCCAGAGAGUUCUGGAUGAACUCCUCCAUUGCUUGGCCUUCCGGGUUGGACAGCGAAUAGAGCUAUCCCCUGGGAGGAGAAGUGACAGGCAGGAGAUCGCUUGCGCAAGGGCGGUGUGGAGGAAGGGAGAUUGCCUUGGCCUUAUUGAAGACCUCUUUGAGUCUAUGAUAGCAGGAGGGCCAGUUCAUGAUGUUGGUGUGUUGGUUGGUGGCAGGAUCUCUGGGUGGACUUGCCGCCUCCUUCAGGUAACGACAGGGAUGUCAAAGUCAAACACACCGAGGGCCAAAAAAACAUAUUUGCUACAAGCCGAGGGCCGGACUGGUUCAAUGCUUAUUAAAA
Molecule: RNA transcript, 13747 nt
Organism: Syngnathus typhle (broad-nosed pipefish)
Lineage: Eukaryota; Metazoa; Chordata; Actinopteri; Syngnathiformes; Syngnathidae
Exons: 5
Source: RefSeq, a predicted model, not a curated record